CGGAGGGUGCGAGCGUUGUCCGGAAUCACUGGGCGUAAAGGGCGCGUAGGUGGCCCGUCAAGCGCGCGGUGAAAGCCCGGGGCUCAACCCCGGGUCGGCCGUGCGGACUGGCGGGCUCGAGCACUGUAGGGGCGGGUGGAAUUCCGGGUGUAGCGGUGGAAUGCGUAGAGAUCCGGAAGAACACCGGUGGCGAAGGCGGCCCGCUGGGCAGGAAGGGGGUCGUAAGACCCCCGGCUGACACUGAGGCGCGACAGCGUGGGGAGCAAACAGGAUUAGAUACCCUGGUAGUCCACGCCGUAAACGAUGGGCACUAGGUGCUUGGGGGAGCGACCCCCCGAGUGCCGGCGCUAACGCAUUAAGUGCCCCGCCUGGGGAGUACGGCCGCAAGGCUG
Molecule: ribosomal RNA, 392 nt
Filed under: uncultured organism
Description: bacterial SSU rRNA
Rfam family: Bacterial small subunit ribosomal RNA
Source: RNAcentral